This is a non-coding RNA of Armillaria borealis, 93 nucleotides long. The record is from the annotation of a GenBank genome assembly. NCBI's taxonomy places the organism in Eukaryota, Fungi, Basidiomycota, Agaricomycetes, Agaricales, Physalacriaceae.
GGGGACAUAGCUCAGCUGCGAGAACAAGAGACUGAAGUAUCUUGCUAGUGGGAGUUUUCUGGAGUCUCCCUAGUUCGAUCCUGGGUGCCCCCA